CUAGUGGCGAACGGGUGAGUAACACGUAGGUAACCUGCCCAUGUGCCCGGGAUAACUUCUGGAAACGGAUGCUAAAACCGGAUAGGUAGCAGACAAGCAUUUGACUGCUAUUAAAGUGGCUAAGGCCAUGAACAUGGAUGGACCUGCGGUGCAUUAGCUAGUUGGUGAGGUAACGGCCCACCAAGGCGACGAUGCAUAGCCGGCCUGAGAGGGCGGACGGCCACAUUGGGACUGAGACACGGCCCAAACUCCUACGGGAGGCAGCAGUAGGGAAUUUUCGUCAAUGGGGGGAACCCUGAACGAGCAAUGCCGCGUGAGUGAGGAAGGUCUUCGGAUCGUAAAGCUCUGUUGUAAGAGAAAAACGACAUUCAUAGGGAAUGAUGAGUGAGUGAUGGUAUCUUACCAGAAAGUCACGGCUAACUACGUGCCAGCAGCCGCGGUAAUACGUAGGUGGCGAGCGUUAUCCGGAAUGAUUGGGCGUAAAGGGUGCGUAGGUGGCAGAACAAGUCUGGAGUAAAAGGUAUGGGCUCAACCCGUACUGGCUCUGGAAACUGUUCAGCUAGAGAACAGAAGAGGACGGCGGAACUCCAUGUGUAGCGGUAAAAUGCGUAGAUAUAUGGAAGAACACCGGUGGCGAAGGC
Molecule: ribosomal RNA, 641 nt
Filed under: uncultured bacterium
Lineage: Bacteria
Description: bacterial SSU rRNA
Rfam family: Bacterial small subunit ribosomal RNA
Source: RNAcentral